AUGAAAAAAGAGUGUAGUAAACCAUUGUUAACUUUAAUAAUCGUUUUUGCAUAAGACCAUUAGUUUUUAAAACAGUAAUAGUCUAAAAACAAUUAAUGAAAAAUUAAAAUGACGCGAGGUGUGUAACUUGCAGCUUGUAAAGCGCAAAAUGUUUGAAAAUCGUAAAAUGCAUUGCCGCCUCACGCUUGUUAUGCAUAUCCACCUUUACUCCGCGCCUGUUACUGUUAUUGUAGUGAAGGAUUUGUGAAAUAUUUACUGUCGUCGUUUCGAAUAGAGCCGAAGGAAAUAUCAAACGAAUCAAUAUGAUGGAGGCAAUCCGCGAUGUAUGAUGAAACUCGCUCAGAAAAGACGGAAACGGGACACACUGUAUACAUCUGAGUAAUAAGAAAGAAAUGCUUUGCUUAUCUCAAAAUCAUUAGAGAUGGUAGUAUCGUUGACGAUAAUUAGCGAACGGAAGCCAGAUUUUCCAUUCCCCACAACAUUAUAAAUCUCUCUAAACGCCGAUGGGCCGGGCUUUAUCUUCUCCAACUGAAUAUUUGCGCAUGGUACAUAUUAAUUAGAUCUUUCAGGAUUAUCAUUAAAAGCCAAUUUGUUUUGAAAGAAUGUUAUACUCAACGCUAGCUCGGUUGCCAGUUCAAUGGCAUAUUUUUUGAGCACUUUUUACCACUGGUGUUUCACGCGGAGCAUUUUUUAAUAUUUUUAGGUAAUGUUGUUUUAUUACGUUUUAGUUGAAUUUUUUUUCGAAUGUCUACUGGCAGUUGCUAAGAUUUCCGUAUUCAGGAGGUUUAAUAGAGUUCAUGGCAAUAAUUAUGUUCGUCUUUUUAUAUGAGGUAUAAAAACGUGCAGGAUUUAAUAUAAACUCCAUAUUCUCUAAUCUCAAUUCCAAUUUUAAGGGGAAAUGGUCCUAGUAAUUCCAAAGUUUGGAACCUCCCUGUUUACAAAAUGUGCACUCAGAAGAAAGUGGUCCAGCAACGAGUCUCCAUUGGGGUAAGACGGCCUAAUAUCACAAAGUCGGGUAACUUCUAAUGAAGCCAAUUGUACAAAGUUUUUCCAUUCAUAUUUUCGGUGUGAUCACCCUUGGAUGUGUUCUUGGCGUUGAAAUCACCCCCCGAGAAUCAGACCAUCGAAACAGAUUGCUGUCUCAGGAAUCACGCUCAGUCCGACAGUCAAGGAUUCGCAAGAUAGAUUUUUAGGAAUGUAAACGAACCCAAUUAGAAUUCUCUCGAGUCGGCUGUUCUUAUUGAUUUUAUUUUUAAUAAAAUUAGUUUAAAAUUGGUUGAUAUCAAUAAAUACUUUUUCAAAUUAAA
RNAcentral lists this unclassified non-coding RNA (1307 nucleotides) under Lucilia cuprina (Australian sheep blowfly). Its description in RNAcentral is "uncharacterized LOC124420063, transcript variant X4". The record is from RNAcentral. Lineage: Eukaryota; Metazoa; Arthropoda; Insecta; Diptera; Calliphoridae.